GACGAACGCUGGCGGCGUGCUUAACACAUGCAAGUCGAACGGAAAGGCCCUGCUUUUGUGGGGUGCUCGAGUGGCGAACGGGUGAGUAACACGUGAGUAACCUGCCCUUGACUUUGGGAUAACUUCAGGAAACUGGGGCUAAUACCGGAUAGGAGCUCCUGCUGCAUGGUGGGGGUUGGAAAGUUUCGGCGGUUGGGGAUGGACUCGCGGCUUAUCAGCUUGUUGGUGGGGUAGUGGCUUACCAAGGCUUUGACGGGUAGCCGGCCUGAGAGGGUGACCGGCCACAUUAGGACUGAGAUACGGCCCAGACUCCUACGGGAGGCAGCGGUGGGGAAUAUUGCACAAUGGGCGGGAGCCUGAUGCGACAACGCCGCGUGCGGGAUGACGGCCUUCGGGUUGUAAACCGCUUUCGCCUGUGACGAAGCGUGAGUGACGGUAAUGGGUAAAGAAGCACCGGCUAACUACGUG
RNAcentral lists this ribosomal RNA (468 nucleotides) under uncultured bacterium. RNAcentral's name for it is "partial 16S ribosomal RNA". It matches the Rfam family "Bacterial small subunit ribosomal RNA", at positions 28 to 507 of the family's 1533-position model. The record is from RNAcentral.